UUUCAUUGUUGCGAUAUAACCAGUGCCUACUAAUCCUUAGACAUCUUGGUGAGAAACAACUUCUUCCCUUCUUCCUACCUGAUGCAGUGAUGACUGCUGCACCAAUAUGACAGCAAGAAUCUGUUGGUCACCCAAGUAAACCUGAAAUGGACUUUAUCCCUUUCCCUUAAUCCAAGUCACUGAAGGUGAUCUUGGAAAAAGGACUUUCCAACCCUGUUGGUAAUCUCGUAAAGAGUUCACCAGUUCCAGAAUUAAGAAACAUGUUGCCCAGAAGAUCAGAAAAGACAAUCACUUCCAGGAUGAUUCAGGAAUUCCAUGGAGACUGGAACAACCUCCAGGAAUUGAUGCAGAGUGACAGGAGCAGAGCCUGGAAAACAUUGUGGACAGAGACUCAUACACUGUGGUACAGAUGAAUGUAAUGGACUUCUCCAUUAGUGGCAGUGCAGUGAUCCUGAACAAGUUGGAGAAAUCUAUGAGGAAAAACCACUAUCCACAUUCAGAGGAAACACUGUGGGAGCAAAAACACUUAAGAAAAACAACUGCUUGAAUGCAUGCAUGAAAGGGAUAUAGUUGGGGUUAUAGACUCUAAAUGAACAUCCUAGUGCAAAUACCAACAUGGAAAUGGGUUCUGAUCAAGGACACAAGUAAUGCCCAAUGAAAUAUGUGCAUCACCUGCAGAAAGGGUGGUUGGAGGGGAGAGAGGGAAAUAAAGUGAGUAUUUUAACCA
Molecule: long non-coding RNA, 727 nt
Filed under: Monodelphis domestica (gray short-tailed opossum)
Lineage: Eukaryota; Metazoa; Chordata; Mammalia; Didelphimorphia; Didelphidae
Description: lncRNA (ENSMODG00000043956.1)
Source: RNAcentral